AACGAACGCUGGCGGCAUGCCUAACACAUGCAAGUCGAACGAGACCUUCGAGUCUAGUGGCGCACGGGUGCGUAACGCGUGGGAACCUGCCCUUAGGUUCGGAAUAACUCCCCGAAAGGGGUGCUAAUACCGGAUAAUGUCUUCGGACCAAAGAUUUAUCGCCUUUGGAUGGGCCCGCGUUGGAUUAGCUAGUUGGUAGGGUAAAAGCCUACCAAGGCGACGAUCCAUAGCUGGUCUGAGAGGAUGAUCAGCCACACUGGGACUGAGACACGGCCCAGACUCCUACAGGAGGCAGCAGUGGGGAAUAUUGGACAAUGGGCGAAAGCCUGAUCCAGCAAUGCCGCGUGAGUGAUGAAGGCCUUAGGGUUGUAAAGCUCUUUUACCCGGGAUGAUAAUGACAGUACCGGGAGAAUAAGCUCCGGCUAACUCCGUG
This 433-nucleotide ribosomal RNA is filed under the name uncultured bacterium. RNAcentral describes it as "partial 16S ribosomal RNA". It matches the Rfam family "Bacterial small subunit ribosomal RNA", at positions 29 to 507 of the family's 1533-position model. The record is from RNAcentral.